AAAAGAAAAAGAAAAAGAAAAAUAUUUGAUAGGGUAAUUUGUUUUUGUUAUUUUGGUAGAGGUUGGACAAGGUUGAAAAGAUCGAGCAACGUAAGGAGAAUUCGAAAUUUAAGAUGAUAGAAAAUACAUAAUUAAUUCGUGUAACGAUUACUGUAAUUGCUUUAGUAGAAAUUGCUAUCGAUAUCGAAGAAGGGUGGAGGGUGGUGGUAGAGAGGAGGAGAAGGAAAGAGGUGGAGGAGGAGGGAGGAGUGAGAGUGUGAGGAAAUAUUGUGGGAAGAUGAUAA
This 284-nucleotide unclassified non-coding RNA is filed under the name Hevea brasiliensis (rubber tree). The record is from RNAcentral. Lineage: Eukaryota; Viridiplantae; Streptophyta; Magnoliopsida; Malpighiales; Euphorbiaceae.